Nerophis ophidion (straightnose pipefish) is the source of this 1525-nucleotide long non-coding RNA. RefSeq lists it as uncharacterized. The record is from RefSeq and is a predicted model, not a curated record. The transcript is spliced from 3 exons. Lineage: Eukaryota; Metazoa; Chordata; Actinopteri; Syngnathiformes; Syngnathidae.
GGAAUACAGGAAGCAGCAUGAGACAGCAAACAUUUAAUGGAAGAUGUUAAUGGAGUCUCGAUUUGGGAAAGAAACUUUAUUCCCUCUGAGUUUGUGAGGCCAAUGAGUUGUGUCUUCUGAGUCCACACAGGCGAUGUCUUCCUUCCUCUUAGCAGCAUGUCCAAAAGGUGGGGUUGCGGGGGCAGCAGCCUAAGCAGAGAUUUCCAGACUUCCGACAUGUUCCAGUUCUUCCCGGGGGAUCCCGAGGCGUUCCCAGCCGGGAGACAUAGUCUUGCCAUCGUGUCCUGGGUCUUCCCUGUGGCCUCCUACCGAUUGGAUGUGUCCUAAACACCUACCCAGGUAGGGGUCCGGUCCGGGGGGGGGCACCCAGACCAGAACCAUCUCAUCUGGCUCCUCUCCAUGUGGAGGAGCAGCGGCUUUACUUUGAUCUCCCCCCAGAUGACAGAGCUUCGCACCCUACCAACCUUCUCACCAGUACGCUUGUACCCGUGAUCUUGUCCUUUCGGUCCUAACCCAAAGCUCGUGACCAUGGUGAGAGUAGGACCGUAGAUUGAGAGCUCCUUCUUCACCACGACGGAUCGCGCAUUACUGAAGACGCCGUACCGAUCCACCAGUCAACCUCAUCGUCCACUCGUGAACAAGACUCUGAGGUACUUGAACUCCUCCACUUGGGGAAAAGAUCUCUUCCCCAACCCGGAGACGGCCGGGGCUCCACCCUUUUCCAGGCGGGAACCAUGGACUCGGACUUGGAGCUGCUGAUUUUCAUCACAGUCGCCUCACACCUGGCUGUGAACCGAUCCAAUGAGAGCUGAAAACCCUGGUCAAAUCAAGAAAACAGGACCACAUCAUCUGGAGCAGAGACCUAAUCCUAGAGCCACCAAACCGGAUCCUCUCAACGCCUUGACUGCGCCUAGAAAUUCUAGGGCAGCCUUGGCUUGAGUCCAACCCUCACUGGAAACGGGUCCGACUUACUGCCGGCAAUGCAGACCAAGCUCCGACUCUGAUCGUACCGAGAACAGACCACCACAAUCAGGCGGUCCCGAAGGACACGGUCAAAGGUCUUCGCCAAGUCCACAAAGCACAUGUAGACUGGUUGGACAAACUCCCAUGCAUCCUCAAGGACUCUGUUGAGAGUAUAGACCUGGUCCACAGUUCCAAGACCAGGACAAAGACCACAGUGCUCCUCUUGAAUCUGAGGUUGGACUAUCCUGUCCAGUACACCUGAACAGACCUUACCGGGAAGGCUGAGGAGUAAAAAUUUUCGGGUGUAUAGAACUCAGUCCGAUUCCGAUUCCUAGGUUAAAGAUUCCAUUCCGAAUCGAUUCCGGAUUCAAGCUGAUUCUGGAUUCACACCAAUUCUUGGAACAGUAAUUAUAAUACAACUUUUUCUAAACAGGUUACAAGUUAAAAAAGUUAUUUCUAAUUUUAUUAGACGUCUUUUGAAAAGUUAUUUUUAAAAAAAAUUCUUACUGAAAAAAAAUUGUAUUAAAAAAAAUUAAAUAAUAAUAAAAAUCCAUCUAUCUUU